This 171-nucleotide small nuclear RNA is filed under the name Echinops telfairi (small Madagascar hedgehog). RNAcentral describes it as "U1 spliceosomal RNA (ENSETEG00000023446.1)". It matches the Rfam family "U1 spliceosomal RNA", at positions 24 to 166 of the family's 166-position model. Rfam says of the family: U1 is a small nuclear RNA (snRNA) component of the spliceosome (involved in pre-mRNA splicing). Its 5' end forms complementary base pairs with the 5' splice junction, thus defining the 5' donor site of an intron. There are significant differences in sequence and secondary structure between metazoan and yeast U1 snRNAs, the latter being much longer (568 nucleotides as compared to 164 nucleotides in human). Lineage: Eukaryota; Metazoa; Chordata; Mammalia; Afrosoricida; Tenrecidae. The record is from RNAcentral.
CCACUUUUGAUGCAGCACUAUCAGCUUCUUAAAAAAUAAUGAAGGUGGUUUUCCCAGGGCGAGGCUUAUCCAUUGCACUCCGGAUGUGCUGACCCCUGCGAUUUCCCGAAAUGUGGGAAACUCAACUGCACAAUUUGUGGUAGUGGGGGACUGCGUUUGUGUUCUCCCCUA